Molecule: ribosomal RNA, 320 nt
Filed under: uncultured eukaryote
Lineage: Eukaryota
Description: partial 18S ribosomal RNA
Rfam family: Eukaryotic small subunit ribosomal RNA
Source: RNAcentral
CCCUUAGAUGUUCUGGGCUGCACGCGUGUUACAAUCGGGAGUACAACAAGAUUGCAAAUCCUAGCGGAUGAGUGGUUCUUCGAAAUUUUCUGAAGACUGGGAUAGUUGAUUGAAAUUAUUCAACUCAAACGAGGAAUUCCUUGUAAUUGUAAUUCAUUAUAUUGUAAUGAAUACGUCCCUGCCCUUUGUACACACCGCCCGUCGCUCCUACCGAUUGAACGAUCCGGUGAAUUAUUUGGAGUAGCUCUGGAAGUUGCAGAACUUCCUAUGUCACGAAAUUUUGUAAACCUUAUCGUUUAGAGGAAGGAAAAGUCGUAACA